GUCUUCAUUUCACUUUCGCAUUUACCCUGAUGUGAAAGGGUCCUCUGUCUCCACACUACCUCUUGGCCAUUCCUCGCCGGAACACUCKGCUGUGUUGAACUUGCGCACCAAAGGCCAGGCAGAUCAGCAGGCGCCUGACACACAGCCAACACCUCAGGAUGACUAUGAUCUCUGGGAUGAUGAUUUGCGGAGGGAUGGUCGCCAUCUGUGCUGUUAUCACAGUCUUUGCGACCAUAAAUGCUCACAUUCAGGUGAAGGUGGAUGUCAACAAUUACUUUGGAGGAGGCAGGCCCUGCUCCAAGCCCCCUAGUCGCAAGAAGUGAGAUCCAGCCUGCAGAUCAGAGGACCACCCCCCUUCUCUGCUUUCAUAAUCUGAUUCCUUCCUUUCCAGACAAGCUCAAGGCUUGUCUGCUCACCCCCUGCGCUGCACCCUUCAAUUCAGCCUGCUGCCUCCUGCUCUUCUUCUGAAAGGCAGAGGGGUUUUCCAUGUGUUUUAGCACCAGGCUCCUCCCUGAGGCGCGGGUUCCUGUGUGCUUGUGCKUGGACAUCCUCUCGCAGGCUUCUCGCAAACCACCACCUGCACUUCUCUGCCUGGGGUUUAUAGGUGAGGAGGAAAAUAUCCAGGCACCCGUCUUCUUCUUUCAAUCAUCCGU
Molecule: long non-coding RNA, 653 nt
Organism: Urocitellus parryii (Arctic ground squirrel)
Lineage: Eukaryota; Metazoa; Chordata; Mammalia; Rodentia; Sciuridae
Source: RefSeq, a predicted model, not a curated record